Molecule: ribosomal RNA, 748 nt
Filed under: Microbacterium sp.
Lineage: Bacteria; Bacillati; Actinomycetota; Actinomycetes; Micrococcales; Microbacteriaceae
Description: bacterial SSU rRNA
Rfam family: Bacterial small subunit ribosomal RNA
Source: RNAcentral
UAUCCUCUCAUCUGGAACGGAUUUGGGCGUAAGAGCUCGUAGGCGGUUUGUCGCGUCUGCUGUGAAAUCCGGAGGCUCAACCUCCGGCCUGCAGUGGGUACGGGCAGACUAGAGUGCGGUAGGGGAGAUUGGAAUUCCUGGUGUAGCGGUGGAAUGCGCAGAUAUCAGGAGGAACACCGAUGGCGAAGGCAGAUCUCUGGGCCGUAACUGACGCUGAGGAGCGAAAGGGUGGGGAGCAAACAGGCUUAGAUACCCUGGUAGUCCACCCCGUAAACGUUGGGAACUAGUUGUGGGGUCCAUUCCACGGAUUCCGUGACGCAGCUAACGCAUUAAGUUCCCCGCCUGGGGAGUACGGCCGCAAGGCUAAAACUCAAAGGAAUUGACGGGGACCCGCACAAGCGGCGGAGCAUGCUUAUUAAUUCGAUGCAACGCGAAGAACCUUACCAAGGCUUGACAUAUACGAGAACGGGCCAGAAAUGGUCAACUCUUUGGACACUCGUAAACAGGUGGUGCAUGGUUGUCGUCCGCUCGUGUCGUGAGAUGUUGGGUUAAGUCCCGCAACGAGCGCAACCCUCGUUUCUAUGUUGCCAGCACGUAAUGGUGGGAACUCAUGGGAUACUGCCGGGGGUCAACUCGGAGGAAGGUGGGGAUGACGUCAAAUCAUCAUGCCCCCUUAUGUCUUGGGCUUCACGCAUGCUACAAUGGCCGGUACAAAAGUCUGCACUACCCGCGAGGUGGAGCGACAUCC